ACAUGUAAUGCUCUUGUAAUGCUUGCAAUUUUCUCCCCUCCCCUCUGCUUAUUUAACAGUGACAGAAAGUGAACAGGUGUCACUUGUUCAUCUGGAAGCCACUGGAUACAUCAGAAGCGGUCCACCUCCAAGCCCUACCUGAGACUGAAACUACGUAGGCAAAAUCUGAGGAACGAUAUAUCUUUAAUUCAAUUUCUUUCACUAUUUGCACUGGAAAUAGGAAAACUUACAGGCAUGGACAGCAGACUAGUCCUCACUCUCCUGUUUGUGAUGCUGACUGGGUGUUUCAUGGGCACUUAUGCUCAAAGUGCAACAACAUCCAGCAACAACACCACUUCCAACACCAGCACCCCAAUACCAUCUAGCAACAACACCACUUCCAACACCAGCACCCCAAUACCAUCCAGCAACAACACCACUUCCAACACCAGCACCCCAAUACCAUCCAGCAACAACACCACUUCCAACACCAGCACCCCAAUACCAUC
Haplochromis burtoni (Burton's mouthbrooder) is the source of this 488-nucleotide long non-coding RNA. RefSeq lists it as uncharacterized. The record is from RefSeq and is a predicted model, not a curated record. NCBI's taxonomy places the organism in Eukaryota, Metazoa, Chordata, Actinopteri, Cichliformes, Cichlidae. The transcript has 2 exons.